AACAGUAAAAUUGAAUUUUUUUGGUUUCAGAUAUUUGUCGUUAGUUGGCUUGGAUUCAAAUUUUAUUAAGUGGAAUUUUAAAAUUUAUUGAAAGCUUUUUUAUACUAUAAUUCUGGAAAAUUUAGGUUUUAAACUAGGAUUAGAUACCCUACUAUUUUAAACGUUAAUUAAGGAGGCCUUGUUAGUACUAGCUAUGUUCUUGAAAAUAAAAGAUUUUGGCGGUAUUUUAGUCUAUUCAGAGGAACCUGUCCUGUAAUCGAUGGUCCACGAUAAUCAAAACUUUUUCUUUUAGUUUACAUAUCGUCGUAGUUUGAGUAUUUUUUUAGAAUUUUAAUAUUCAUUAUUUUUAUAAAAAAAGAAAUCAGAUCAAGGUGUAGCUUACGAGGAAGGAAGAGAUGGGUUACAUUAAAAUUAUUUCGGGAUUAGUUUUUUAAGUGAACUAUGAAUUCGGAUUUGAUAGUAAUUUUAAUUAUUUUGUUAAAAUGACUUUAGCUCUAAGAUAUGCACAUAUCGCCCGUCGCUUUCACUUUAAGGUGAAAUAAGUCGUAACAAAGUAGGCCUACUGGAAAGUGGGCCUAGAAAGGCAAGUUAGAGCUUGAUUAGAAAGCAUUUUAGUUACAUUAAAGAGUUAAUUGUGAGAUUCAAUUUGGCUUGAUUAGAAAAAGUUACUAAGUUUGUUUUUGUUUAUUGUUUUGUGAUAAAAAUGUUAAAAUUUAUUAUUUCUUGAGAACAAUUUUUUUUUGUUAUAGUUUAUUAAUACUGUGAAGGAAUUUUUGAAAAAUAAAAAAGAUGACUUUAUUUGUU
This 804-nucleotide ribosomal RNA is filed under the name Purpuricenus sideriger. RNAcentral's name for it is "partial 12S ribosomal RNA". Lineage: Eukaryota; Metazoa; Arthropoda; Insecta; Coleoptera; Cerambycidae. The record is from RNAcentral.